UUGUUUAGAUUGCUCUGAGACUCUACAAUCCCAAAAGCCUAUGAUCAUACCUAUAUAUUCAAAAGUUCAAGAAUUUUAACGUUGUUUGCAGGAAAAUCUCCCCAUAAAUUACAGUAGGUAUAUGAUCAUAACUAUAAAUUACAGAUUACAAAUGCAUAAAUCACAUUAACUUAUCUAUAUAGUACAUCAAAUAAAUACAUUUUCAAAGUAAAAAUUCUCUCUUCUCUAUCUAGAAACGGCUACCUGAUGACUAUUUUUUAAACGAGUAUGUAGGAAAACAAUUUAAAGGUAGAAGACCUUUAAAUGUAAGAAGGAAAGAGAUUUUGUUUAGUUGAUAAAUGAAGAAAUGGAGGUAGUUUGGAAGGUUUAAUAUAUGUAGCUAUAUGGAGAGAGACUUUUGUAAUUCUUCAACUUUUAUUACACAAGGAAUCACUUUGGUACACACUUGGGUUCACACUUUUUUGUGCAUCCUACAAAUGAGGAGGUCUUCCCUAUUUAUAGGCAUCAACCUCGAUGUUCUACGACAUUCUAGAAUAUUCCAUAUAAGUGUCCUAAACAAUAUUCAUAUCUACCUAUUCUCAUAUGUUCUAGAAUAUUCCACUACUCUAGAAUAUUCUCACAUUCUCUACUAUACAUAAAAGAGUUNNNNNN
This 651-nucleotide long non-coding RNA is filed under the name Nicotiana benthamiana. Its description in RNAcentral is "long non-coding RNA (NBEN_LNC032901)". The record is from RNAcentral. Lineage: Eukaryota; Viridiplantae; Streptophyta; Magnoliopsida; Solanales; Solanaceae.